Molecule: long non-coding RNA, 2123 nt
Organism: Rattus rattus (black rat)
Lineage: Eukaryota; Metazoa; Chordata; Mammalia; Rodentia; Muridae
Exons: 4
Source: RefSeq, a predicted model, not a curated record
GAGGGGAGCGAGCCGCACCGCCGCAGCGGCCGUCUCCUCCCGCGCCCGCCUCAACUUUUUGUACAGCCCGGAGAGGCGCGGGCACCCCGAUCCCCGCGGUCCAGAAGCGGGUCCUCACCAAAGACGCACAGCAGAGUUGGGGGCCGGUUCUCCCGGCAGCCCGCUCCUCCCGAGCAAACUUAGCGGCGCGGCCAGCCCCACAGCCAUUUUCCCGGAGAGGCGGCGGAGGCGGUCGUGCCCGCAGUUGCCGCCACGGCUCCAGGACCCGAUCGCUGCCCGACUCCCCGGGCACAGCCCGCCCUGCAUCCCCCUCUUCGCCUGCGGAGCUCCCAACUGCACCGGGACCCCAUCGCCGCAGCAGCUGCUCCCGCCGCUUUGCCCAUUCAGCGGCCCCCGCUGCCCACCUACCUACUGCGGGUGCAGAGCGCUGUCAGCUCUCCAGUCUGCCGCCCCACUGAUCGCCGUGGGUCCCCGUCCGGGCAGCACGGCUCCCGGCCGCAGCGGCAGUUCCUGCGCCGGGUUCCCCCACUCGCCCCGAUUUACUGCCACAAUCCACCAAAUAACAAGCUGUUGAGCAGACUCGCUUCUACACGAACUCCUAUUGGCUGUUCAUGACGCCGAAUAGCUUCGGAUUGGAGCUCGCUGUCUGCCUUUCUCAUUGGAUGUAGCUGUGAAACUUCCAUGAUUGGUGCGGAAAACAGCAGGUAGGACAUCUUCCACUUCUGAUUGGCUGGAUCUGAAGACGCACGUUAUUGGAGGAUGGAGGACUGAGUAAGGGAGCCCAAAAAUUUGAUUGGAGGAGCCGACUCCGGAUGUGCUUGACUGAACACUGAUUGGAGAACAGAGGGGUCAGGAAGAGCAGUUCCGCACGAGGAUUGGGCGGUGGCGUGUCCCAUGGAAACGGAAUCCAGAACUGCAGCCAGGGUUUUGCACGGGGGCGGAGCCGGGUCUUCCCCAGGCGCCUGCGCCUAAGCGGUUUCCCGGCGCCAUUUUGUCCCGGCAGCAGCAGCCCGCAGCUCUAUCCCAUUUUCUGUGUCUAGAGGGAAGGAAGCGGACUCUAUCUGGUAGGUUUAUUUCAGUGUGGCACCGGCUUACCCUUCUCUCCAGGACAACGCCUAGCGAAGGGUGGAGGAGUCCCGGAGUUGUCCGAAAGAGUUGUGAAGACAACAGACACCUCCAUGACAACCCAAAGUAUCACAGGGAAAUGAAAAGCUGUGGAUUCUUUCAAAGUUAAUUAAGAUUGGGUUUGACAAUGGAAGACCUCCAGAAAAUCUUGGCUGCUGAUGUGGAAAAAGAGACCCAGAAGAACAACCAAACAGACUAGUUGACGUAGAAACAGCAUUCUUCUUGGAGGAACAGGCAAAGACCCCUUCUUUAGCUGUCAAGAAAUCCAGCCCCCAUCGGUUCUGAAGCACUACAGCUGCCAAAGAAUCGAUUUGUUUCUGGAUAGUAAGCAUGGUUUCAGACAUUUUUUUAAAAACCGUUGUCAGGCUUGUAAAUGAGCUUAUCAUAAUGGGUCAUGGAAGUCGUUAUCCCUGCAAGCCCAGUGCCAGCGCCUAUGGCUAUUCCUGCAGUGAUCAAGAGUGGCAGGACCUGAACUGCCCUCUUAUGCUGGGCAGCUAUCAUAUCUACAGCUGGGAUUAGCAGGGGCUCGGUUCCCUGGAUUACUCCUAGUUCAGGGGAAAGGAUCACCAACAUGCAAACUCCUGACCAGGUAGGUGAUGAUAUACUGAGUGCCACAGAAGAUUGACAUGUUUUGGACUGCAGAGAAUUGUGGCAGAGAAGAGGUAUCGAGGGUUGUGGUUCUAUUGCAGUCUAGGGAGCCUGGUAUUCCUACAGAACGUGUCCCAAUGUCUUAAAACAGUUUGCCACACGAAAAAGGGAUAGAGAAAAGGUAUGGGGUCAUGUGACAUCAGUUAGGGCAGCUGACAAAAGGCGAGGUGAAGUUAUUGGAGAGGCUGUAAGUGGAAGCUAUGAGUUAGUUCCCCGGGGUACACAUGACCAGCAGCCUUUAAAGUGACCAGGUCAGGUGACAUUAAGGAGUUAGUCCGCUGAGGUCAGAGUCUGACGCAAAAGGGGAGAUGACAAGUUAGUGCUAUUUAUGAGGGGGGAUGUCAAAGAGA